Molecule: ribosomal RNA, 482 nt
Filed under: uncultured bacterium
Lineage: Bacteria
Description: partial 16S ribosomal RNA
Rfam family: Bacterial small subunit ribosomal RNA
Source: RNAcentral
AUUGAACGCUGGCGGCAUGCCUUACACAUGCAAGUCGAACGGUAACGGGCCUUCGGGUGCCGACGAGUGGCGAACGGGUGAGUAAUACAUCGGAACGUGCCCGAUCGUGGGGGAUAACGAGGCGAAAGCUUUGCUAAUACCGCAUACGAUCUACGGAUGAAAGCAGGGGACCGCAAGGCCUUGCGCGGACGGAGCGGCCGAUGGCAGAGUAGGUAGUUGGUGGGAUAAAAGCUUACCAAGCCGACGAUCUGUAGCUGGUCUGAGAGGAUGAUCAGCCACACUGGGACUGAGACACGGCCCAGACUCCUACGGGAGGCAGCAGUGGGGAAUUUUGGACAAUGGGCGGAAGCCUGAUCCAGCCAUGCCGCGUGCAGGAUGAAGGCCUUCGGGUUGUAAACUGCUUUUGUACGGAACGAAAAGCCUUCUUUUAAUACAGGAGGGUCAUGACGGUACCGUAAGAAUAAGCACCGGCUAACUACGUG